UAUGCAAAGUUUUAAUAUGUUUGUUUAAUAAUAUAAACACGUUUCCAUGUGUUUGAAGGUCGCAAAAGCUAAACAUAAGUGGCAACCACACUUUGUAUUACGUUUCGUCUCAUAUAUCAUGAAGAACAACCAAGUAUUUCAAGCUGGGAUCAUGCUGAGGAACCUCAACCAAGGAAAGCUGAGGCGAGGGCGAGUAGGUCCCUGAGGAGGACCACUGCAAAGAAAGGAGGUCAAGGAGAUUCUGGGAGCAACCUGCGAGCAACCUCUAGAUCAGCCAGCAGGCACCUCUGACAAUGCCGCUGCCGGUGUCGACGCUGGCAGCCAUGGCCGGCGCCGAGCUGACGAGCUCCAACCUGGAAGCUCAGCGCGAGGGGCUGGCAUUUGUUGCCGGCUUCGUGGCAUACAAGUGUCACCACAUCGACGCCACCCUCGGUAGUCGGUCUCCUGACUUCUCGGGCGCCGCCGGAGACACUGAACACCGGACAUGUGCAUGGAUCCGGGAAAAUGGAUCUGGGAUCUGA
This 521-nucleotide long non-coding RNA is filed under the name Amphibalanus amphitrite. RNAcentral describes it as "uncharacterized LOC122385608, transcript variant X1". Lineage: Eukaryota; Metazoa; Arthropoda; Thecostraca; Balanomorpha; Balanidae. The record is from RNAcentral.